Molecule: non-coding RNA, 261 nt
Organism: Cinara cedri
Lineage: Eukaryota; Metazoa; Arthropoda; Insecta; Hemiptera; Aphididae
Source: the annotation of a GenBank genome assembly
GUAGUAAAUUUUAUAACCUUAGCUCACGCAACUGUUAUACACCGUUAAAAAUUACUUACGGAAUAUGAUGUCAGAGAUAUAUUUUAUAAUUGAUAGUACUAUACAAACACUAGGUACCUAACUAAUAACUAGGGUUAGAAUUUAUAUGCAAUAAAAAAUUGUAAAAUAUGCAUUUUAUUUACCAACAUGUGAAAAAAUAUACAAAAACACGUUUUUUAUUUCUACUAAACAUAUAAAAUUUAAAUUGUGUCCGUGUAGGUA